UACGUAGGGACCGAGCGUUGUCCGGAAUCAUUGGGCGUAAAGAGCGUGUAGGCGGCCACUUAAGUCCUGCGUGAAAUCUUGCGGCUCAACCGCAAGCGGUCGUGGGAAACUGGGUGGCUGGAGUGCAGGAGAGGAAAGUGGAAUUCCACGUGUAGCGGUGAAAUGCGUAGAGAUGUGGAGGAACACCAGUGGCGAAGGCGACUUUCUGGCCUGUAACUGACGCUGAGGCGCGAAAGCGUGGGGAGCAAACAGG
This 253-nucleotide ribosomal RNA is filed under the name uncultured bacterium. RNAcentral's name for it is "partial 16S ribosomal RNA". It matches the Rfam family "Bacterial small subunit ribosomal RNA", at positions 524 to 776 of the family's 1533-position model. The record is from RNAcentral.